Molecule: ribosomal RNA, 484 nt
Filed under: uncultured bacterium
Lineage: Bacteria
Description: partial 16S ribosomal RNA
Rfam family: Bacterial small subunit ribosomal RNA
Source: RNAcentral
AUUGAACGCUGGCGGCAGGCCUAACACAUGCAAGUCGAGCGGAUGAAGGGAGCUUGCUCCUGGAUUCAGCGGCGGACGGGUGAGUAAUGCCUAGGAAUCUGCCUGGUAGUGGGGGAUAACGUCCGGAAACGGGCGCUAAUACCGCAUACGUCCUGAGGGAGAAAGUGGGGGAUCUUCGGACCUCACGCUAUCAGAUGAGCCUAGGUCGGAUUAGCUAGUUGGUGGGGUAAAGGCCUACCAAGGCGACGAUCCGUAACUGGUCUGAGAGGAUGAUCAGUCACCGGGGAAGUGAAACAGGGCCCGGCCUCCUAGGGGAGGACGCAGUGGGAAUUUUUGGAGAGAGGGGAAAAGCCUGACCCAGCCAGCCCGGGGGUGUAAGGAGGGUCUUGGGAUUGUAAAGCUCUUUAAGUUGGGAGAAAGGACAGAAAUUUAAUACCUUCUUGUUUUCAGGUUACCAAAAGAAAAAGCCCCGGCUAACUUCGUG